GGACUGUAGCUCAGUGGUAGAGCAUCAGCUUUGCAUGCAGGUCUCAAGUUCAAUCCUCAGCAUGUCUA
Non-coding RNA from Podarcis lilfordi (Lilford's wall lizard), 68 nucleotides. The record is from the annotation of a GenBank genome assembly. NCBI's taxonomy places the organism in Eukaryota, Metazoa, Chordata, Lepidosauria, Squamata, Lacertidae.